AGGUCUGUCGCCAAGCGGUAAGGCAACGGGUUUUGAUCCCGUCAUCCCAUGGUUCGAAUCCAUGUAGACCUGCCA
This 75-nucleotide transfer RNA is filed under the name Vibrio cholerae. RNAcentral's name for it is "tRNA-Gln(ttg)". It matches the Rfam family "tRNA". Rfam says of the family: Transfer RNA (tRNA) molecules are approximately 80 nucleotides in length. The record is from RNAcentral. Lineage: Bacteria; Pseudomonadati; Pseudomonadota; Gammaproteobacteria; Vibrionales; Vibrionaceae.